This 492-nucleotide ribosomal RNA is filed under the name uncultured bacterium. Its description in RNAcentral is "partial 16S ribosomal RNA". It matches the Rfam family "Bacterial small subunit ribosomal RNA", at positions 29 to 507 of the family's 1533-position model. The record is from RNAcentral.
AGUGAACGCUGGCGGUAGGCCUAACACAUGCAAGUCGAACGGCAGCACAGUAAGAGCUUGCUCUUACGGGUGGCGAGUGGCGGACGGGUGAGGAAUACAUCGGAAUCUACUUUUUCGUGGGGGAUAACGUAGGGAAACUUACGCUAAUACCGCAUACGACCUACGGGUGAAAGCAGGGGAUCUUCGGACCUUGCGCGAUUGAAUGAGCCGAUGUCGGAUUAGCUAGUUGGCGGGGUAAAGGCCCACCAAGGCGCCGAUCCGUAGCUGGUCUGAGAGGAUGAUCAGCCACACUGGAACUGAGACACGGUCCAGACUCCUACGAGAGGCAGCAGUGGGGAAUAGUAGACAAUGGGCGCAAGCCUGAUCCAGCCAUACCGCGUGGGUGAAGAAGGCCUUCGGUUUGUAAAGCCCUUUUGUUGGGAAAGAAAAGCAGCAGGUUAAGACCCCGCUGUUCUGACGGUACCCAAAGAAUAAGCACCGGCUAACUUCGUG